Molecule: ribosomal RNA, 16 nt
Filed under: Saprolegnia bulbosa
Lineage: Eukaryota; Oomycota; Saprolegniomycetes; Saprolegniales; Saprolegniaceae
Also listed under: 8 other names
Description: partial 28S ribosomal RNA
Source: RNAcentral
UUGGACCUGAUAUCAA